RNAcentral lists this ribosomal RNA (800 nucleotides) under uncultured Actinomycetes bacterium. RNAcentral describes it as "bacterial SSU rRNA". It matches the Rfam family "Bacterial small subunit ribosomal RNA", at positions 71 to 849 of the family's 1533-position model. Lineage: Bacteria; Bacillati; Actinomycetota; Actinomycetes. The record is from RNAcentral.
AAGCCCCCUUCGGGGGGCAAGUAGAGUGGCGCACGGGUGAGUAACACGUAGGUAAUCUACCUUUGGAUGGGGAAUAACAACCGGAAACGGUUGCUAAUACCGCAUAAUGCAGCGGCACCUAAUGGUGACAGUUGUUAAAGCGGGGGAUCGCAAGACCUCGCGUCUGAAGAGGAGCCUGCGGCGGAUUAGCUAGUUGGUAAGGUAACGGCUUACCAAGGCUAUGAUCCGUAGCCGGCCUGAGAGGGCGGUCGGCCACACUGACACUGACAUACGGGUCAGACUCCUACGGGAGGCAGCAGUCGGGAAUUUUGGGCAAUGGGCGAAAGCCUGACCCAGCAACGCCGCGUGAAGGAUGAAAUCCUUCGGGAUGUAAACUUCGCAAGAACAGGAAGAGUAAGUAAGAGUUAAUAUCUCUUACGAUGACGGUACUGUUUGUAAGCUCCGGCUAACUCCGUGCCAGCAGCCGCGGUAAUACGGGGGGAGCAAGCGUUGUUCGGAUUUACUGGGCGUAAAGGGCGCGUAGGCGGCACUGCAAGUCGACUGUGAAAUCUCCGGGCUUAACCCGGAAAGGUCAGCCGAUACUGCGGGGCUAGAGUGCAGAAGGGGCAACUGGAAUUCUCGGUGUAGCGGUGAAAUGCGUAGAUAUCGAGAGGAACACCUGCGGCGAAGGCGGGUUGCUGGGCUGACACUGACGCUGAUGCGCGAAAGCUAGGGGAGCGAACGGGAUUAGAUACCCCGGUAGUCCUAGCCUUAAACGAUGAAUGCUUGGUGUCUGGGGUUUUAUAGUCCCCGGGUGCCGU